Molecule: ribosomal RNA, 253 nt
Filed under: uncultured bacterium
Lineage: Bacteria
Description: partial 16S ribosomal RNA
Rfam family: Bacterial small subunit ribosomal RNA
Source: RNAcentral
UACGUAGGGGGUUAGCGUUGUCCGGAUUUAUUGGGCGUAAAGAGCGUGUAGGCGGCCAGGUAGGUCUGCUGUGAAAACUCGAGGCUCAACCUCGAGACGUCGGUUGAAACCGUAUGGCUAGAGUCCGGAAGAGGAGAGUGGAAUUCCCGGUGUAGCGGUGAAAUGCGCAGAUAUCGGGAAGAACACCCGUGGCGAAGGCGGCUCUCUGGGACGGUACUGACGCUGAGACGCGAAAGCGUGGGGAGCGAACAGG